Neofelis nebulosa (Clouded leopard) is the source of this 1300-nucleotide long non-coding RNA. RefSeq lists it as uncharacterized. The record is from RefSeq and is a predicted model, not a curated record. The transcript has 4 exons. Lineage: Eukaryota; Metazoa; Chordata; Mammalia; Carnivora; Felidae.
CCAGUCCGGGUUGUUACAUUCCCUGGGGGCUCUGACCACCACAGGAUCCAUGCCUAUGUAAGCAAGGAAGGCAACCUCCUCUUGGGAGUCAUAUGCCAUGAGGCCCAGUAACUCCAUGCAUUCUAAAUGUGUCAGAGCACGAAGAUGUCAGAUUCAGCAGGGAGCUGUCCCUUGUCACUCCUUCUCAUUUCUCUGCUCUUCAUCCCUGUGGCUGCCUUGGAGGAAAACAUAAAACCUUCCAGACUGUUUCUAAUUGCAUAAUCCCAGGCCCCUGGACCUGCUGCCACUCUGUGUCCUGCCUCUGCUCAGGCCCUCUUCCUGGUUCAGGCACAGAAUGCCAACCUGACUCCCAGCGUGGAAACAAAUUAGUUUCUGAUGGAAAGGGAUUUGACUCAGAAGGAGAGAAAAUGCUUUGAGGACACUCCAGCAAAGGAAGCCUCUUUACCACCAGGUGGUCACCAAUAAUCUCUAAGAAGAUGCGAGUUACCUUAUAGUUGUAAACAAUUGUAGUAUCAGAUCUUUUCAAAAAGAACACAGCAGAGACAUCGGUUCAACGUUGGAGAAAUAGGAAAGAUUUCAUGCCAUCAAAUCAGGGAGGCUCUUGAAACAUCGCUGACGUCCUAAUCUCCUUUUUCAGGUUUUUAAACAUCUAAGAAUACCAGGUAAAUUUAUCAGUACUUAUCUGGCAAAGAAGAGAGAGGGGGAGUAUGUAUGAGCAUGGAGAGAAUAAACUCUGCGUAAGUUUUCCAGCAUCUCAUGGCAAGUUGAGGGACAUUUAAUAAAAUUAAAAGGGAAUAAAGCUUAACUCUUCUAACUACUAUUUAUAAUGUUGCUAUUGUUAACCAACUUUGACCUUGAUUAAAGAGAGAUUGUUAGGUGUCCUCUUAUUGGAAAAAAUAUCCUUCUGAAUUUGUUCGCUGAAGGUUUUACUUUGUAAAUCAGAGGGAUAUACGAUAGAUACGCUCAUUGAAAUCCUUUUGCUUUAUUCAAUACAUUGUAUCAAUUUUGUAUAGAUGUCAACUUCUUAGAUGUGCGUGUAUCAUCAAUUUUCACUGAGUUUUUGGCGUUAUGUUACAGAUUUUGUGAUUAUAAUGUUACCCUAUUCUCCAGAACAUGAACGUGAAUCUCAAGAGUAGUUAUUAGCUAAAUAAGAUUUUGAACAAAAUUAAAGAGCAUGGCACAUUACUUUGAGUUAUGAAGGGUGUUACUUGAUAUCUUUGUAAUACCAGAAAGAGUGGUAGGAAAUAUAACAGGGGUUCUUAACUUGUGUGUGUGUGUGUGUGUGUGUGUGUGUGUGUAU